This is a non-coding RNA of Acanthosepion pharaonis, 113 nucleotides long. Lineage: Eukaryota; Metazoa; Mollusca; Cephalopoda; Sepiida; Sepiidae. The record is from the annotation of a GenBank genome assembly.
UUACGGCCACAUCGUGUUGAAACACCGGUCCCUUACGAUCAACGAAGUUAAGCAACUUCGAGCCCAUUCAGUACUUAGAUGGGUAACUGCUUGGGAAUACUAGGUGCUGUAAG